UACGGGGGGAGCAAGCGUUGUUCGGAUUUACUGGGCGUAAAGGGCGCGUAGGCGGCCACCGCAAGUCGACUGUGAAAUCUCCGGGCUUAACCCGGAAAGGUCAGCCGAUACUGCGGGGCUAGAGUGCAGAAGGGGCAACUGGAAUUCUCGGUGUAGCGGUGAAAUGCGUAGAUAUCGAGAGGAACACCUGCGGCGAGGGCGGGUUGCUGGGCUGACACUGACGCUGAGGCGCGAAAGCUAGGGGAGCGAACGGG
RNAcentral lists this ribosomal RNA (254 nucleotides) under uncultured bacterium. Its description in RNAcentral is "partial 16S ribosomal RNA". It matches the Rfam family "Bacterial small subunit ribosomal RNA", at positions 524 to 776 of the family's 1533-position model. The record is from RNAcentral.